RNAcentral lists this non-coding RNA (136 nucleotides) under Cavia porcellus (domestic guinea pig). The record is from RNAcentral. Lineage: Eukaryota; Metazoa; Chordata; Mammalia; Rodentia; Caviidae.
GUAUUGUAUGAAAGGAGAAAAGGUUAGCAUUCGUGGCCAUGCAGGGAUUUACACCAAUGUCUGCUCCUCUUGAACGAUGCUACUAUGAAAGCUAUGUGGCUGUGUUCAGCCGCACAAAUGGUAUUGAUAUUUUUUU